Molecule: transfer RNA, 83 nt
Filed under: Rickettsiales bacterium
Lineage: Bacteria; Pseudomonadati; Pseudomonadota; Alphaproteobacteria; Rickettsiales
Description: tRNA-Leu
Rfam family: tRNA
About the family: Transfer RNA (tRNA) molecules are approximately 80 nucleotides in length.
Source: RNAcentral
GCUAUGGUGGUGAAAUUGGUAGACACAUUAGAUUUAGGCUCUAAUUUUUUAUAAAAGUAGGGGUUCAAAUCCCUUUCAUAGCA